GACUGAACUGUCCUUUUUCGGUUAUCAUGGUACCGAUGCUGUAUAUCUGGAAGGUACAGUACUGUGAUAACUGAAGAAUGGUGGUGCCAUC
Molecule: microRNA precursor, 91 nt
Organism: Myotis lucifugus (little brown bat)
Lineage: Eukaryota; Metazoa; Chordata; Mammalia; Chiroptera; Vespertilionidae
Source: Ensembl